CCAAGUAAGUUUGUUCUGGGUACGUAUAAGCUUUUGUGAGCUUUCAUGAGCAGAAGUGUGCAUGCACACAAAAGCUUAUAUGUACCCAGAACAAACUUACUUGGU
This is a non-coding RNA of Podarcis lilfordi (Lilford's wall lizard), 105 nucleotides long. The record is from the annotation of a GenBank genome assembly. NCBI's taxonomy places the organism in Eukaryota, Metazoa, Chordata, Lepidosauria, Squamata, Lacertidae.